UUGCUCCGGCAGUACAUGUACUACAAUUGGAACGAUGCACAGAAGAUUAGAAUGGCCCUGCGCAAAUAUGACACGCAUAUUCGUGAAGCGUGCGCUCUCUCU
Small nuclear RNA from Lethenteron reissneri (Far Eastern brook lamprey), 102 nucleotides. The record is from RefSeq and is a predicted model, not a curated record. Lineage: Eukaryota; Metazoa; Chordata; Hyperoartia; Petromyzontiformes; Petromyzontidae.